This 21-nucleotide microRNA is filed under the name Picea abies (Norway spruce). RNAcentral's name for it is "pab-miR11459". Lineage: Eukaryota; Viridiplantae; Streptophyta; Pinopsida; Pinales; Pinaceae. The record is from miRBase by way of RNAcentral.
CCCGGGGGGAACGCAUAUCUG